RNAcentral lists this microRNA precursor (150 nucleotides) under Ovis aries (sheep). Its description in RNAcentral is "miRNA (ENSOARG00000021315.1)". The stretch from base 23 to 98 matches the Rfam family "mir-216 microRNA precursor family". Lineage: Eukaryota; Metazoa; Chordata; Mammalia; Artiodactyla; Bovidae. The record is from RNAcentral.
AGGUCUAACCUGGAUGGCUGUGAGUUGGCUUAAUCUCAGCUGGCAACUGUGAGAUGUUCAUACAGCCCUCCACAGUGGUCUCUGGGAUUAUGCUAAACAGAGCAAUCUCCUUGCCCUCAUGGAUCAAAAGACUUGCAUGGCAACCAAAAU